This 30-nucleotide non-coding RNA is filed under the name Homo sapiens (human). Lineage: Eukaryota; Metazoa; Chordata; Mammalia; Primates; Hominidae. The record is from RNAcentral.
UCCUAUGUUCAGGAUCUGGAGGAGCACGGG